CCUACGGGAGGCAGCAGUGGGGAAUAUUGCACAAUGGGCGAAAGCCUGAUGCAGCGACGCCGCGUGAGGGAUGACGGCCUUCGGGUUGUAAACCUCUUUCAGCAGGGACGAAGCGCGAGUGACGGUACCUGCAGAAGAAGCACCGGCUAACUACGUGCCAGCAGCCGCGGUAAU
This 174-nucleotide ribosomal RNA is filed under the name uncultured Rhodococcus sp. RNAcentral's name for it is "partial 16S ribosomal RNA". It matches the Rfam family "Bacterial small subunit ribosomal RNA", at positions 338 to 524 of the family's 1533-position model. Lineage: Bacteria; Bacillati; Actinomycetota; Actinomycetes; Mycobacteriales; Nocardiaceae. The record is from RNAcentral.